RNAcentral lists this transfer RNA (77 nucleotides) under Quatrionicoccus australiensis. Its description in RNAcentral is "tRNA-Pro". It matches the Rfam family "tRNA". Rfam says of the family: Transfer RNA (tRNA) molecules are approximately 80 nucleotides in length. Their secondary structure includes four short double-helical elements and three loops (D, anti-codon, and T loops). Lineage: Bacteria; Pseudomonadati; Pseudomonadota; Betaproteobacteria; Rhodocyclales; Azonexaceae. The record is from RNAcentral. RNAcentral also lists the same sequence under 10 other names.
CGGAGUGUAGCUCAGCCUGGUAGAGCACUGCGUUCGGGACGCAGGGGUCGCAUGUUCGAAUCCUGUCACUCCGACCA